UAUUUUAUACAUUCUUGGGUGAUACUUUGAAUAAAUAUUUUCUAAGUCUCACAAAUUAUUUUGUCUACACAAAACUAGUCAUUCUCAUUAUCUCAAGUGAUCGUCAAACUUUGAUUUCGUGAGCAUCGUUUCGUGGGCUUUAGAGUUUCUUCAAUUAGGAAGUAAAGCGCCUAUAAGGUAAGGGCUUUUUCCCCACACACUCAUGCUACAUAGGACGAUAUUGUGAUAUAAUAGUAGAACCUUUAUCGUUUAAAAUGAACCAAAGGAAACAAAUUUAUAUAAAACAAUAAGUAAUAUUAUUUAAAGAAAUAAGGAAUCAACCUAUUUUGAUGAAAUAAUUUCCAUCAGUAUGUGUAUGCUUGUUUUAACCUUAUCAUUAUAGAUUAUAUAUAUGUAUGCUAUGUUUGUCUGUUUCAUUCCAUAUGCGUUAGUAAUAUUUAUUGAUUUCCUUUAUCUAUUGAAAAUCAACAAGAACUAAAUAAAUAAAUUGAUUUCAAUCGGUGCAGUGGGAGUUAUAGUGGUGUGGGAGGGUGUUCGGGUUUUCAAGAAGGAAGUUAUUGAGACAUGCAUCAUAUAGGAUGUGUAUAACAGAGUUUAUAUANNNNNNNNNNNNUAUCCGGAUCAUUGUCUCAUAUAGGAUUGUCUUAGUUGCAUUGCAUUGCAUAUAGAGAGGAAGAAAAUUAACAAUAGUAGAUAAUUAUCCUAGUCAUAAAAGAACCAACGUAAAAAGGAAGAAAAAAAAAGAAAGGGUAUAGUUGUCCGUAGUAAAAUUGUGAUCGUUGCUUCUCUUAUUUCAUUCGACUUGUCGUGCAAUUUGUAAUAUGUGUAAUUAUGUUGCCUUGUUUAUUACUGCCAUUUAACAAUUAUAUGUUGCCUAUGUUUGUAUACGUGUAUCACCAAAAGUUUUUAUAAUAAACUAAUAAUUAUAUUUUUCAUAAGGUGAAGUGUUUUGUUAUUGUUUUAUGACAUCUUCUUGUGGUGAGUAUGAUUCAAUAUGGAUAAGGAAAUUGACCCUUACAACCAACAUUUUAGGUACUCAAGGAGAAAGCUUUGAUUGAAUGUGAUGUGAAUGUGAUGUGAUGCUUGAAGCGCGUACGAACGGGGAAAAUUGGGUUUUGUAAAUUUGACAAUUUUUAUGUAAUAAAAAGUUCAUGGUUGUAUUUUCUUCCGCUGAAAUUUUCAAACUAUUGUUCAAAUUAAUUAAGUUUAUAUUUCCAAGAAUUCUAUUUGAAUUAUUUUAUAACUAUUUAUUCG
Molecule: long non-coding RNA, 1254 nt
Filed under: Trifolium pratense (red clover)
Lineage: Eukaryota; Viridiplantae; Streptophyta; Magnoliopsida; Fabales; Fabaceae
Description: long non-coding RNA (TPRA_LNC005930)
Source: RNAcentral